RNAcentral lists this ribosomal RNA (254 nucleotides) under uncultured bacterium. Its description in RNAcentral is "partial 16S ribosomal RNA". It matches the Rfam family "Bacterial small subunit ribosomal RNA", at positions 524 to 776 of the family's 1533-position model. The record is from RNAcentral.
UACGUAGGGGCCUAGCGUUGUCCGGAUUUAUUGGGCGUAAAGAGCUCGUAGGCGGUUCGGCAAGUCGGAUGUGAAAUCUCCACGCUCAACGUGGAGGGGCCAUUCGAAACUGCCGUGACUCGAGUCCGGUAGGGGAGUGUGGAAUUCCCGGUGUAGCGGUGAAAUGCGCAGAUAUCGGGAAGAACACCUAUGGCGAAGGCAGCUCUCUGGGACGGUACUGACGCUGAGACGCGAAAGCGUGGGGAGCGAACAGG